Molecule: ribosomal RNA, 253 nt
Filed under: uncultured bacterium
Lineage: Bacteria
Description: partial 16S ribosomal RNA
Rfam family: Bacterial small subunit ribosomal RNA
Source: RNAcentral
UACGGAGGGUGCAAGCGUUAUCCGGAUUCACUGGGUUUAAAGGGUGCGUAGGCGGGCUUGUAAGUCGGUGGUGAAAGCCCGGGGCUUAACUCCGGAACUGCCGUUGAUACCGCAAGCCUUGAGUACAGUUGAGGUGGGCGGAAUACAUCAUGUAGAGGUGAAAUUCUUAGAUAUGAUGUAGAACACCGAUUGCGAAGGCAGCUCACUAAAGUGUAACUGACGCUGAGGCACGAAAGCGUGGGGAGCAAACAGG